This 413-nucleotide ribosomal RNA is filed under the name uncultured soil bacterium. RNAcentral describes it as "bacterial SSU rRNA". It matches the Rfam family "Bacterial small subunit ribosomal RNA", at positions 258 to 688 of the family's 1533-position model. The record is from RNAcentral.
UAACGGCCCACCAAGGCUCCGAUCGGUAGCUGGUUUGAAAGAGCGACCAGCCACACUGGGACUGAAAAACGGCCAAAACUCCUACGGGAGGCAGCAGUGAGGAAUUUUCCGCAAUGGGCGAAAGCCUGACGGAGCGACGCCUCGUGUGGGAAGAAGGCCUUCGGGUCGUAAACCACUGUCGAAGGGGAAUAUACUGAAGGUACCCUUGGAGGAAGCCCCGGCUAACUACCUGCCAGCAGCCGCGGUAAGACGUAGGGGGCGAGCGUUAUUCGGAAUUAUUGGGCGUAAAGCGCUCGUAGGCGGGAAGGCAAGUCCGUGUUGAAAGACCUCUGCUCAGCUGAGGGACCGGCUCGGAUACUGCUUUUCUUGAGGCAAUCAGAGGGUGAUGGAAUUCCCGGUGUAGCGGUGAAAUG